RNAcentral lists this ribosomal RNA (493 nucleotides) under uncultured bacterium. RNAcentral describes it as "partial 16S ribosomal RNA". It matches the Rfam family "Bacterial small subunit ribosomal RNA", at positions 29 to 523 of the family's 1533-position model. The record is from RNAcentral.
AUUGAACGCUGGCGGCAUGCUUUACACAUGCAAGUCGAACGGUAACAGGUUAAGCUGACGAGUGGCGAACGGGUGAGUAAUGCAUCGGAACGUGCCCGGUCGUGGGGGAUAACGCAGCGAAAGCUGCGCUAAUACCGCAUACGAUCUGAGGAUGAAAGCGGGGGACCGUAAGGCCUCGCGCGAUCGGAGCGGCCGAUGUCAGAUUAGGUAGUUGGUGGGGUAAAGGCUCACCAAGCCAACGAUCUGUAGCUGGUCUGAGAGGACGACCAGCCACACUGGGACUGAGACACGGCCCAGACUCCUACGGGAGGCAGCAGUGGGGAAUUUUGGACAAUGGGCGAAAGCCUGAUCCAGCAAUGCCGCGUGCAGGAAGAAGGCCUUCGGGUUGUAAACUGCUUUUGUACGGAGCGAAAGGGUCUCCUCUAAUACAGGGGGCUCAUGACGGUACCGUAAGAAUAGGCACCGGCUAACUACGUGCCAGCCGCCGCAGUAA